Molecule: ribosomal RNA, 830 nt
Filed under: Diaporthe rudis
Lineage: Eukaryota; Fungi; Ascomycota; Sordariomycetes; Diaporthales; Diaporthaceae
Description: eukaryotic LSU rRNA
Rfam family: Eukaryotic large subunit ribosomal RNA
Source: RNAcentral
CCCUAGUAACGGCGAGUGAAGCGGCAACAGCUCAAAUUUGAAAUCUGGCCUCGGCCCGAGUUGUAAUUUGCAGAGGAUGUUUCUGGCGCGGUGCCUUCCGAGUUCCCUGGAACGGGACGCCAAAGAGGGUGAGAGCCCCGUAUGGUCGGACACCAAGCCUGUGUGAAACUCCUUCGACGAGUCGAGUAGUUUGGGAAUGCUGCUCUAAAUGGGAGGUAAAUCUCUUCUAAAGCUAAAUACCGGCCAGAGACCGAUAGCGCACAAGUAGAGUGAUCGAAAGAUGAAAAGCACCUUGAAAAGGGGGUUAAAUAGUACGUGAAAUUGUUGAAAGGGAAGCACUUAUGACCAGACUUGGGCCGGGCGGCUCAUCAGGGGUUCUCCCCUGUGCACUCCGCCCGGCACAGGCCAGCAUCGGUUCUCGUGGGGGGAUAAGACCGUCAGGAACGUAGCACCCUCCGGGGUGUGUUAUAGCCUGGCGGACGAUACCCUCGUGGGGACCGAGGUUCGCGCUCCGCAAGGAUGCUGGCGUAAUGGUCAUCAGUGACCCGUCUUGAAACACGGACCAAGGAGUCGUCCAUUAGAGCGAGCGUUUGGGUGUAAAACCCGCACGCGUAAUGAAAGUGAACGCAGGUGAGAGCUUCGGCGCAUCAUCGACCGAUCCUGAUGUUCUCGGAAGGAUUUGAGUAAGAGUUUUAACGGACGGACCCGAAAGACAGUGAACUAUGCUUGUAUAGGGUGAAGCCAGAGGAAACUCUGGUGGAGGCUCGCAGCGGUUCUGACGUGCAAAUCGAUCGUCAAAUAUGAGCAUGGGGGCGAAAGACUAAUCGAAC